UAGGACCUACGGGAGGCAGCAGUGGGGAAUAUUGCACAAUGGGGGAAACCCUGAUGCAGCGACGCCGCGUGAGCGAAGAAGUAUCUCGGUAUGUAAAGCUCUAUCAGCAGGGAAGAAAAUGACGGUACCUGACUAAGAAGCCCCGGCUAACUACGUGCCAGCAGCCGCGGUAAUACGUAGGGGGCAAGCGUUAUCCGGAUUUACUGGGUGUAAAGGGAGCGUAGACGGCUGUGCAAGUCUGAAGUGAAAUGCCGGGGCCCAACCCCGGAACUGCUUUGGAAACUGUACAGCUAGAGUGCAGGAGG
This 305-nucleotide ribosomal RNA is filed under the name uncultured bacterium. RNAcentral describes it as "bacterial SSU rRNA". It matches the Rfam family "Bacterial small subunit ribosomal RNA", at positions 331 to 655 of the family's 1533-position model. The record is from RNAcentral.